Molecule: ribosomal RNA, 462 nt
Filed under: uncultured bacterium
Lineage: Bacteria
Description: bacterial SSU rRNA
Rfam family: Bacterial small subunit ribosomal RNA
Source: RNAcentral
GGGCCCGCACAAGCAGCGGAGCAUGUGGUUUAAUUCGAAGCAACGCGAAGAACCUUACCUGGAUUUGACAUCUCCUGAAUAGCCAGUAAUAUGGCGAAGCCCUUCGGGGCAGGAAGACAGGUGGUGCAUGGUUGUCGUCAGCUCGUGUCGUGAGAUGUUAGGUUAAGUCCUGCAACGAGCGCAACCCUUAUUGUUAGUUGCUACCAUCAAGUUGAGCACUCUAAUGAGACUGCCCGGGUUAACCGGGAGGAAGGUGGGGAUGACGUCAAAUCAUCAUGCCCCUUAUAUCCAGGGCCACACACGUGCUACAAUGGUAAGUACAAAAAGAUGCAAUACCGCAAGGUGGAGCCAAACUUUAAAACUUAUCCCAGUUCGGAUUGCAGGCUGCAACUCGCCUGCAUGAAGCUGGAGUUGCUAGUAAUCGCGAAUCAGAAUGUCGCGGUGAAUACGUUCCCGGGCCUU